GAAGUAAAAAGUCGUAACAAGGUAGCUGUAGGUGAACCUGCUGCUGGAUCAUUACUUUUUAUGUGAUGUUCAAAUUUGAAUUUUUUCUCGCAAUCCCUUUGUGGAUUGUGUAACGGCUGCCGCUGGUGUCUAGGUGUUGCUGAUUCAGUCGUGAGCGUCCGUGACUGAAUAUGAGGUGACAUGUUAGGAUUAUCGUUAUAAUCGUAAGACUUAAUGAGCCUCUUAAGUGAGGACGCCAGCACCCAUUUUUUCUAAUAAAUUUUUUUUAAACAAAUGAAAAAUUUAGCCUUACCGGUGGAUCACUCGGUUCGUGGAUCGAUGAAGAACGCAGCUAACUGCGAUAAUUUAUGUGAACUGCAGAAAUCUUGAGCAUAAAAGUUUUGAACGCAUAUUGCGGCAUUGGGGUCAAACCCUUUGGCACGUCUGGUUCAGGGUCAUUUUCUUAUAAAGCGAAAGCUUUUAUUGUAUAUUGUCAGUGACUUUUAUACCUUAAUAUUGUUUUGGUGAUAAUUUUUGAAUUAAUAUUUAUUACCAAAUACAUUCAUAUUUUUGACCUGAACUCAGUCGAGAGCACCCGCUG
Molecule: ribosomal RNA, 580 nt
Filed under: Meloidogyne minor
Lineage: Eukaryota; Metazoa; Nematoda; Chromadorea; Rhabditida; Meloidogynidae
Description: eukaryotic LSU rRNA
Rfam family: 5.8S ribosomal RNA (bases 284-437)
Source: RNAcentral